UACGGAGGAGGCAAGCGUUAUCCGGAAUGAUUGGGCGUAAAGCGUCCGCAGGUGGCCAUGUAAGUCUGCUGUCAAAACCCAGGGCUCAACUCUGGUCAGGCAGUGGAAACUACAAAGCUAGAGUCUGGUAGGGGCAAAGGGAAUUCCCGGUGUAGCGGUGAAAUGCGUAGAUUUCGGGAAGAACAUCGGUGGCGAAAGCGCUUUGCUAGACCAGAACUGACACUCAGGGACGAAAGCUAGGGGAGCGAAUGGG
Molecule: ribosomal RNA, 253 nt
Filed under: uncultured bacterium
Lineage: Bacteria
Description: partial 16S ribosomal RNA
Rfam family: Bacterial small subunit ribosomal RNA
Source: RNAcentral